CCUGGGGUGCCCCGCGAGGGGAGCCCUAGCACAGGUGCUGCAUGGCCGUCGUCAGCUCGUGCCGUGAGGUCGUUGGGUUAAGUCCCGCAACGAGCGCAACCCCGCGUUAGUUGCCAGCGGUUCGGCCGGGCACUCUAACGGGACUGCCCGCGAAAGCGGGAGGAAGAGGGGACGACGUCUGGUCAGCAUGGCCCUUACGGCCUGGGCGACACACGUGCUACAAUGCCCACUACAAAGCGAUGCCACCCGGCAACGGGGAGCUAAUCGCAAAAAGGUGGGCCCAGUUCGGAUUGGGGUCUGCAACCCGACCCCAUGAAGCCGGAAUCGCUAGUAAUCGCGGAUCAGCCAUGCCGCGGUGAAUACGUUCCCGGGCCUU
Molecule: ribosomal RNA, 376 nt
Filed under: uncultured Thermus sp.
Lineage: Bacteria; Thermotogati; Deinococcota; Deinococci; Thermales; Thermaceae
Description: bacterial SSU rRNA
Rfam family: Bacterial small subunit ribosomal RNA
Source: RNAcentral